RNAcentral lists this ribosomal RNA (247 nucleotides) under uncultured bacterium. RNAcentral describes it as "partial 16S ribosomal RNA". It matches the Rfam family "Bacterial small subunit ribosomal RNA", at positions 523 to 769 of the family's 1533-position model. The record is from RNAcentral.
AUACGGAGGAUCCGAGCGUUAUCCGGAUUUAUUGGGUUUAAAGGGUGCUCAGGCGGGCGAUUAAGUCGGCGGUGAAAUUUUGCGGCUCAACCGUAAAAGUGCCUUCGAAACUGGUCACCUUGAGUGCGGAUGAGGUAGGCGGAAUUUGUGGUGUAGCGGUGAAAUGCAUAGAUAUCACGAGGAACUCCGAUUGCGCAGGCAGCUUACUAAACCGUAACUGACGCUGAUGCUCGAAAGUGUGGGUAUC